This 393-nucleotide ribosomal RNA is filed under the name uncultured bacterium. RNAcentral describes it as "bacterial SSU rRNA". It matches the Rfam family "Bacterial small subunit ribosomal RNA", at positions 355 to 745 of the family's 1533-position model. The record is from RNAcentral.
UGAGGAAUAUUGGUCAAUGGGCGGAAGCCUGAACCAGCCAUGCCGCGUGCGGGAAGAAGGCGCUACGCGUCGUAAACCGCUUUUGUCCGGGGGUAACCGCGGGGACGUGUCCCCGCCUGCAAGUACCGGACGAAUAAGGGUCGGCUAACUCCGUGCCAGCAGCCGCGGUAAUACGGAGGACCCGCGCGUUAUCCGGAUUCAUUGGGUUUAAAGGGUGCGUAGGCGGCCCGGUAAGUCAGCGGUGAGAGGCUCCUGCUCCACAGGAGAGCUGCCGGUGAUACUGGUGGGCUAGAAUAGUAGCGAGGCGGGCGGGAUGCGAGGUGUAGCGAUGAAAUGCAUAGAUAUCGCGCAGAACGCCGAUUGGGGAGCCAGCUCGCCAGCUGAGUAUUGACG